GCUGAUGCGUUGUUGGGUAGGGGAGCGUUCUGUAAGCCUGCGAAGGUGACCUGUGAGGGUUGCUGGAGGUAUCAGAAGUGCGAAUGCUGACAUAAGUAACGAUAAAGCGGGUGAAAAGCCCGCUCGCCGGAAGACCAAGGGUUCCUGUCCAACGUUAAUCGGGGCAGGGUGAGUCGACCCCUAAGGCGAGGCCGAAAGGCGUAGUCGAUGGGAAACGGGUUAAUAUUCCCGUACUUGGUGUUACUGCGAAGGGGGGACGGAGAAGGCUAUGUUGGCCGGGCGACGGUUGUCCCGGUUUAAGCGUGUAGGUGUGUGUUCCAGGUAAAUCCGGUUCACUUUAACACUGAGGCGUGAUGACGAGGCACUACGGUGCUGAAGCAACAAAUGCCCUGCUUCCAGGAAAAGCCUCUAAGCAUCAGGUAACAUCAAAUCGUACCCCAAACCGACACAGGUGGUCAGGUAGAGAAUACCAAGGCGCUUGAGAGAACUCGGGUGAAGGAACUAGGCAAAAUGGUGCCGUAACUUCGGGAGAAGGCACGCUGACACGUAGGUGAAGUGAUUUACUCACGGAGCUGAAGUCAGUCGAAGAUACCAGCUGGCUGCAACUGUUUAUUAAAAACACAGCACUGUGCAAACACGAAAGUGGACGUAUACGGUGUGACGCCUGCCCGGUGCCGGAAGGUUAAUUGAUGGGGUCAGCGCAAGCGAAGCUCCUGAUCGAAGCCCCGGUAAACGGCGGCCGUAACUAUAACGGUCCUAAGGUAGCGAAAUUCCUUGUCGGGUAAGUUCCGACCUGCACGAAUGGCGUAAUGAUGGCCAGGCUGUCUCCACCCGAGACUCAGUGAAAUUGAACUCGCUGUGAAGAUGCAGUGUACCCGCGGCAAGACGGAAAGACCCCGUGAACCUUUACUAUAGCUUGACACUGAACAUUGAGCCUUGAUGUGUAGGAUAGGUGGGAGGCUUUGAAGUGUGGACGCCAGUCUGCAUGGAGCCGACCUUGAAAUACCACCCUUUAAUGUUUGAUGUUCUAACGUGGACCCGUAAUCCGGGUUGCGGACAGUGUCUGGUGGGUAGUUUGACUGGGGCGGUCUCCUCCUAAAGAGUAACGGAGGAGCACGAAGGUUGGCUAAUCCUGGUCGGACAUCAGGAGGUUAGUGCAAUGGCAUAAGCCAGCUUGACUGCGAGCGUGACGGCGCGAGCAGGUGCGAAAGCAGGUCAUAGUGAUCCGGUGGUUCUGAAUGGAAGGGCCAUCGCUCAACGGAUAAAAGGUACUCCGGGGAUAACAGGCUGAUACCGCCCAAGAGUUCAUAUCGACGGCGGUGUUUGGCACCUCGAUGUCGGCUCAUCACAUCCUGGGGCUGAAGUAGGUCCCAAGGGUAUGGCUGUUCGCCAUUUAAAGUGGUACGCGAGCUGGGUUUAGAACGUCGUGAGACAGUUCGGUCCCUAUCUGCCGUGGGCGCUGGAGAACUGAGGGGGGCUGCUCCUAGUACGAGAGGACCGGAGUGGACGCAUCACUGGUGUUCGGGUUGUCAUGCCAAUGGCACUGCCCGGUAGCUAAAUGCGGAAGAGAUAAGUGCUGAAAGCAUCUAAGCACGAAACUUGCCCCGAGAUGAGUUCUCCCUGAGACUUAGAGUCUCCUGAAGGAACGUUGAAGACG
Molecule: ribosomal RNA, 1657 nt
Filed under: Salmonella enterica subsp. enterica serovar Typhimurium
Lineage: Bacteria; Pseudomonadati; Pseudomonadota; Gammaproteobacteria; Enterobacterales; Enterobacteriaceae
Description: partial 23S ribosomal RNA
Rfam family: Bacterial large subunit ribosomal RNA
Source: RNAcentral